UGAGGAAUAUUGGUCAAUGGGCGCAAGCCUGAACCAGCCAUGCCGCGUGCAGGAAGACGGUCCUAUGGAUUGUAAACUGCUUUUAUUCGGGAAUAAACCUCUUUACGUGUAGAGAGCUGAAGGUACCGAAUGAAUAAGCACCGGCUAACUCCGUGCCAGCAGCCGCGGUAAUACGGAGGGUGCAAGCGUUAUCCGGAAUCAUUGGGUUUAAAGGGUCCGCAGGCGGUCUUAUAAGUCAGUGGUGAAAGCCUACAGCUCAACUGUAGAACUGCCAUUGAUACUGUAAGACUUGAAUUCGAUCGAAGUGGGCGGAAUAUGACAUGUAGCGGUGAAAUGCUUAGAUAUGUCAUAGAACACCGAUAGCGAAGGCAGCUCACUAGGUCUGGAUUGACGCUCAGGGACGAAAGCGUGGGGAGCAAACA
RNAcentral lists this ribosomal RNA (422 nucleotides) under uncultured Fluviicola sp. RNAcentral describes it as "bacterial SSU rRNA". It matches the Rfam family "Bacterial small subunit ribosomal RNA", at positions 355 to 774 of the family's 1533-position model. The record is from RNAcentral. Lineage: Bacteria; Pseudomonadati; Bacteroidota; Flavobacteriia; Flavobacteriales; Crocinitomicaceae.